RNAcentral lists this ribosomal RNA (292 nucleotides) under uncultured bacterium. Its description in RNAcentral is "partial 16S ribosomal RNA". It matches the Rfam family "Bacterial small subunit ribosomal RNA", at positions 505 to 796 of the family's 1533-position model. The record is from RNAcentral.
GUGUCAGCCGCCGCGGUAAUACGGAGGGUGCAAGCGUUAUCCGGAUUCACUGGGUUUAAAGGGUGCGUAGGCGGAUAGGUAAGUCCGUGGUGAAAUCCUGCAGCUUAACUGCAGAACUGCCAUGGAUACUAUCUAUCUUGAAUGUCGUGGAGGUUAGCGGAAUAUGUCAUGUAGCGGUGAAAUGCUUAGAUAUGACAUAGAACACCCAUUGCGAAGGCAGCUAACUACGCGAUAAUUGACGCUGAUGCACGAAAGCGUGGGGAUCAAACAGGAUUAGAAACCCCCGUAGUCC